Daphnia carinata is the source of this 232-nucleotide long non-coding RNA. RefSeq lists it as uncharacterized. The transcript has 3 exons. The record is from RefSeq and is a predicted model, not a curated record. NCBI's taxonomy places the organism in Eukaryota, Metazoa, Arthropoda, Branchiopoda, Diplostraca, Daphniidae.
AGAAAUAAAUACUGCAGUGUCCAGUGAAGAAUAAAAUUGGUGGCAAGACAUGUACAACAGAUUUUGCUAUAAUGCAUUCAGGAAGGGGCUUUGCUUCCUUGAAAGAAUGAGAAAUGAAACGUGGGAUGCUCUGAAGAGCUGACUCUUCAGUAAAAGGAGCUGGAUAUAAAUGCAAACGAGGCAGGCGAUAGCGAAGCGGAAAGUGCUGCCGUCUAGUUCACCUCUUGCUACA